GUGAACCAGUACCGUGAGGGAAAGGCGAAAAGAACCCCGGCGAGGGGAGUGAAAAAGAACCUGAAACCGUGUACGUACAAGCAGUGGGAGCACAGAGCAAUCUGUGUGACUGCGUACCUUUUGUAUAAUGGGUCAGCGACUUAUAUUCUGUAGCAAGGUUAACCGAAUAGGGGAGCCGAAGGGAAACCGAGUCUUAACUGGGCGUUAAGUUGCAGGGUAUAGACCCGAAACCCGGUGAUCUAGCCAUGGGCAGGUUGAAGGUUGGGUAACACUAACUGGAGGACCGAACCGACUAAUGUUGAAAAAUUAGCGGAUGACUUGUGGCUGGGGGUGAAAGGCCAAUCAAACCGGGAGAUAGCUGGUUCUCCCCGAAAGCUAUUUAGGUAGCGCCUCGUGAAUUCAUCUCCGGGGGUAGAGCACUGUUUCGGCAAGGGGGUCAUCCCGACUUACCAACCCGAUGCAAACUGCGAAUACCGGAGAAUGUUAUCACGGGAGACACACGGCGGGUGCUAACGUCCGUCGUGAAGAGGGAAACAACCCAGACCGCCAGCUAAGGUCCCAAAGUCAUGGUUAAGUGGGAAACGAUGUGGGAAGGCCCAGACAGCCAGGAUGUUGGCUUAGAAGCAGCCAUCAUUUAAAGAAAGCGUAAUAGCUCACUGGUCGAGUCGGCCUGCGCGGAAGAUGUAACGGGGCUAAACCAUGCACCGAAGCUGCGGCAGCGACACUGUGUGUUGUUGGGUAGGGGAGCGUUCUGUAAGCCUGUGAAGGUGUGCUGUGAGGCAUGCUGGAGGUAUCAGAAGUGCGAAUGCUGACAUAAGUAACGAUAAAGCGGGUGAAAAGCCCGCUCGCCGGAAGACCAAGGGUUCCUGUCCAACGUUAAUCGGGGCAGGGUGAGUCGACCCCUAAGGCGAGGCCGAAAGGCGUAGUCGAUGGGAAACAGGUUAAUAUUCCUGUACUUGGUGUUACUGCGAAGGGGGGACGGAGAAGGCUAUGUUGGCCGGGCGACGGUUGUCCCGGUUUAAGCGUGUAGGCUGGUUUUCCAGGCAAAUCCGGAAAAUCAAGGCUGAGGCGUGAUGACGAGGCACUACGGUGCUGAAGCAACAAAUGCCCUGCUUCCAGGAAAAGCCUCUAAGCAUCAGGUAACAUCAAAUCGUACCCCAAACCGACACAGGUGGUCAGGUAGAGAAUACCAAGGCGCUUGAGAGAACUCGGGUGAAGGAACUAGGCAAAAUGGUGCCGUAACUUCGGGAGAAGGCACGCUGAUAUGUAGGUGAAGUCCCUCGCGGAUGGAGCUGAAAUCAGUCGAAGAUACCAGCUGGCUGCAACUGUUUAUUAAAAACACAGCACUGUGCAAACACGAAAGUGGACGUAUACGGUGUGACGCCUGCCCGGUGCCGGAAGGUUAAUUGAUGGGGUCAGCGCAAGCGAAGCUCUUGAUCGAAGCCCCGGUAAACGGCGGCCGUAACUAUAACGGUCCUAAGGUAGCGAAAUUCCUUGUCGGGUAAGUUCCGACCUGCACGAAUGGCGUAAUGAUGGCCAGGCUGUCUCCACCCGAGACUCAGUGAAAUUGAACUCGCUGUGAAGAUGCAGUGUACCCGCGGCAAGACGGAAAGACCCCGUGAACCUUUACUAUAGCUUGACACUGAACAUUGAGCCUUGAUGUGUAGGAUAGGUGGGAGGCUUUGAAGUGUGGACGCCAGUCUGCAUGGAGCCGACCUUGAAAUACCACCCUUUAAUGUUUGAUGUUCUAACGUGGACCCGUGAUCCGGGUUGCGGACAGUGUCUGGUGGGUAGUUUGACUGGGGCGGUCUCCUCCUAAAGAGUAACGGAGGAGCACGAAGGUUGGCUAAUCCUGGUCGGACAUCAGGAGGUUAGUGCAAUGGCAUAAGCCAGCUUGACUGCGAGCGUGACGGCGCGAGCAGGUGCGAAAGCAGGUCAUAGUGAUCCGGUGGUUCUGAAUGGAAGGGCCAUCGCUCAACGGAUAAAAGGUACUCCGGGGAUAACAGGCUGAUACCGCCCAAGAGUUCAUAUCGACGGCGGUGUUUGGCACCUCGAUGUCGGCUCAUCACAUCCUGGGGCUGAAGUAGGUCCCAAGGGUAUGGCUGUUCGCCAUUUAAAGUGGUACGCGAGCUGGGUUUAGAACGUCGUGAGACAGUUCGGUCCCUAUCUGCCGUGGGCGCUGGAGAACUGAGGGGGGCUGCUCCUAGUACGAGAGGACCGGAGUGGACGCAUCACUGGUGUUCGGGUUGUCAUGCCAAUGGCACUGCCCGGUAGCUAAAUGCGGAAGAGAUAAGUGCUGAAAGCAUCUAAGCACGAAACUUGCCCCGAGAUGAGUUCUCCCUGACCCUUUAAGGGUCCUGAAGGAACGUUGAAGACGACGACGUUGAUAGGCCGGGUGUGUAAGCGCAGCGAUGCGUUGAGCUAACCGGUACUAAUGAACCGUGAGGCUUAACCUU
RNAcentral lists this ribosomal RNA (2456 nucleotides) under Escherichia coli. Its description in RNAcentral is "partial 23S ribosomal RNA". It matches the Rfam family "Bacterial large subunit ribosomal RNA", at positions 490 to 2925 of the family's 2925-position model. The record is from RNAcentral. Lineage: Bacteria; Pseudomonadati; Pseudomonadota; Gammaproteobacteria; Enterobacterales; Enterobacteriaceae.